RNAcentral lists this transfer RNA (81 nucleotides) under Streptococcus pneumoniae. Its description in RNAcentral is "tRNA-Tyr". It matches the Rfam family "tRNA". Rfam says of the family: Transfer RNA (tRNA) molecules are approximately 80 nucleotides in length. The record is from RNAcentral. RNAcentral also lists the same sequence under 7 other names. Lineage: Bacteria; Bacillati; Bacillota; Bacilli; Lactobacillales; Streptococcaceae.
GGAAGGGUAGCGAAGAGGCUAAACGCGGCGGACUGUAAAUCCGCUCCUUCGGGUUCGGGGGUUCGAAUCCCUCUCCUUCCA